Long non-coding RNA from Aedes aegypti (yellow fever mosquito), 644 nucleotides. RefSeq lists it as uncharacterized. The record is from RefSeq and is a predicted model, not a curated record. The transcript is spliced from 2 exons. NCBI's taxonomy places the organism in Eukaryota, Metazoa, Arthropoda, Insecta, Diptera, Culicidae.
CGUUAGUCGUGUCCGGUCGGUCGAGUUUCGAGCCGCGACUUCACAGUGCUCGAUGCGCAGAGCAAGGGAGAAAUUUAGCGAAUGAGGAACUGAAGUGAAGAAAAAUAAAAUUCAGAAACUGAUUGUGUGUUUCCGAAUUGCGAGGUGUGAUUUAUAAAGCAGCAGCAAGAAAGACGAUCACGGUUGGAUUGUUCCUGCGCCAUAUGGAUCGGGGGUCUUGGGGUGGUGAUUUGUUUAUUUUCGACAUGUUCCACUGAAAUUGAUUAUUAUAUGGUUGGAGCCUGAGUGCUAAUUGAGUGCUUGGAAAGUUAUAUUUACACGACGAAGUCACGUGUUUCAAGGGGGUGAUGUGUGAUACAAUGUGCCUUAUCUGGAAGUGAUUAUAUUAAAAGGGUUUUGAAUGUUUAAAUGUUGGUGCAGUACAAGAUAAAAAAGCUACACUACCUACUCUAACCCGCCGAUAUCAAGUGUUUGCUUGGGUGCAUCGAAUUCGAUGGAGACGCAUGGCUGCCAGUAGCUGAAAUUGUGGAUUACUAGCAUUCAGAAGGAGCAGUUCCGAGGAAAUGACGAAAAUCUCUAAGCUUAGUAGAGCACUAGGUGCUCUUCCAAACAAUAAGAUGCGAUUAUGCUGCAAGUGUCCUGAU